Molecule: non-coding RNA, 418 nt
Organism: Schizosaccharomyces pombe (fission yeast)
Lineage: Eukaryota; Fungi; Ascomycota; Schizosaccharomycetes; Schizosaccharomycetales; Schizosaccharomycetaceae
Source: the annotation of a GenBank genome assembly
CAAUAUAUUAAGGACUAAUAAAAUAAACAAUAAAUAUUAAUGAUUAGGAAAUCAAACGCACCAAGAUAAUCAAAUUGAUAAACAAACUAUAGAUAAAUGACAGAAAUAUUGAAUCAACAAAAUUGCAACUCAUUCAAAAAGUUAUCAAUUUACACUUAAAGAAUUAUUUACCACAAAACAUACUGUAGCGUUAGCAUUUGUUGCUCCUGUUAAUAACGACUUCUGAUCUCGAUGAACUCAAAAAGUUCGAACCAACAUAAUAUAGCGAGUGCUUUUGAUCAUUCAAGAAUUAGAAAUGAAUGCUAACAAUACUACAUUACAAUUACGAAUUACUAUAUGUCACAUGUUCUGAUUACCUAUCGUCUUACAAAUGAUAACAAUACGAUGUAGAUCCACUAAUAAAUUUUUUAAUUUAUUA